GGAGAGGUGCCUGAGUGGCCGAAAGGAACGGUUUGCUAAAUCGUCGUACGUUACAAGCGUACCCAGGGUUCGAAUCCCUGUCUCUCCG
This 88-nucleotide transfer RNA is filed under the name bacterium. Its description in RNAcentral is "tRNA-Ser". It matches the Rfam family "tRNA". Rfam says of the family: Transfer RNA (tRNA) molecules are approximately 80 nucleotides in length. RNAcentral also lists the same sequence under 1 other name. The record is from RNAcentral.